This is a long non-coding RNA of Leucoraja erinaceus (little skate), 280 nucleotides long. RefSeq lists it as uncharacterized. The record is from RefSeq and is a predicted model, not a curated record. The transcript is spliced from 2 exons. NCBI's taxonomy places the organism in Eukaryota, Metazoa, Chordata, Chondrichthyes, Rajiformes, Rajidae.
CCUCUUACCCGGGUAGGUCGGCCAGAUCCGCAAAAGCCCUCUUACCCGGGUAGGUCGCCAGAUCCGCAAAAGCCCUCUUACCCGGGUAGGUCGCCAGAUCCGCAAAAGCCCUCUUACCCAGGUAGGUCGCCAGAUCCGCAAAAGCCCUCUUACCCGGAUCUGGCGACCAGAUCCGCAAAAGCCCUCUUACCCGGGUAGGUCGCCAGAUCCGCAAAAGCCCUCUUACCCGGGUAGGUCGCCAGAUCCGCAAAAGCCCUCUUACCCGGGUAGGUCGCCAGAU